GUGGCUAGGGGUGAAAGGCCAAUCAAACUCGGAGAUAUCUGGUUCUCGUCGAAAUGCCUUUAGGGGCAGCGUUACAUUAGUGUAUCGGGGGUAGAGCACUGAUUGGGCUAGGGGGCCUACAAGCUUACCAAACCCUAUCAAACUCCGAAUACCGAAUACAUGUUGUGUAGCAGUGAGGCUAUGGGAGAUAAGUUUCAUAGCCAAGAGGGAAACAACCCAGAUCAUCAGCUAAGGUCCCUAAAUUGAUACUAAGUGAUAAAGGAUGUGGAAUCGCCCAGACAGCUAGGAGGUUGGCUUAGAAGCAGCCAUCCUUUAAAGAAAGCGUAAUAGCUCACUAGUCAAGGGGUUCUGCGCCGAUAAUUUCCGGGACUAAGUAUCAUACCGAAGCUAUGGGAUUUAUUCUUUAUGAAUAAAUCGGUAGACGAGCGUUCUAUUAACCUGUGAAGGUUGACCCGUGAGGGCAGCUGGAGGAGAUAGAAAUGAGUAUGCUGGAAUGAGUAGCGAUAAAGCCUGUGAAAUACAGGCUCGCCGUAAGCCCAAGGUUUCCUGAGUAAAGUUAAUCUUCUCAGGGUUAGUCGGACCCUAAGCCGAGGCCGAAAGGCGUAGGCGAUGGAAAACAGGUUUAAUAUUCCUGUACCAGUUUAAUAUUGUUUGAACUAUGGGGGGACGCAGAAGUGAAAGGAGAUCCCGGUUUUGAUUGUCCGGGUUUAAGAGCGUAGGAAGUUUUAGUAGGUAAAUCCGCUGAAACAAUUCCGAGACUCGAAUAGGAGGGCCUAGCCCAUAAACUCUCCCUAAUCAUGCUGUCAAGAAAAUCCUCUAUGUUAGAUAUUAAUCUGUCCGUACCGUAAACGGACACACGUAGGCGAGGAGAGAAUCCUAAGGCGCUUGAGAGAAUCCAAGUAAAGGAACUCGGCAAAUUAGCCCCGUAACUUCGGGAGAAGGGGUGCCACUUAAGGAGAAGAGCAUACGCUCCUAUUUUUGAGUGGCCGCAGUGACCAGGCCCAAGCGACUGUUUACUAAAAACACAGGUCUCUGCUAAGUCGUAAGACGAUAUAUAGGGACUGACACCUGCCCGGUGCUGGAAGGUUAAAUGGAGAGGUUAGCUUCGGCGAAGCUUUGAAAUGAAGCCCCAGUAAACGGCGGCCGUAACUAUAACGGUCCUAAGGUAGCGAAAUUCCUUGUCGGGUAAGUUCCGACCUGCACGAAUGGUGUAACGAUUUGGGCACUGUCUCUACUUGGAGCUCAGCGAAAUUGAAGUGUCGGUGAAGAUGCCGGCUACCCGCGGCCGGACGAAAAGACCCCGUGAACCUUUACUACAACUUAUCAUUGAAUACUGAUUCUGCACGUGCAGGAUAGGUGGGAGACUUUGAAGCAGUAACGUCAGUUAUUGUGGAGUCAUCCUUGAAAUACCACCCUUGUUUUGUUAGUAUUCUAAUCUCAUCCCGUGAAUCCGGGUGAGAGACAGUGGUAGGUGGGUAGUUUGACUGGGGCGGUCUCCUCCCAAAAAGUAACGGAGG
This 1517-nucleotide ribosomal RNA is filed under the name marine metagenome. RNAcentral's name for it is "bacterial LSU rRNA". It matches the Rfam family "Bacterial large subunit ribosomal RNA", at positions 811 to 2306 of the family's 2925-position model. The record is from RNAcentral.